ACCAGGAAUGAAUUGUGUACUGUCCCAGUCUGUGAUCGCUGUAACUGAAAGGUAUUUUCUGAACUGUG
RNAcentral lists this small nucleolar RNA (68 nucleotides) under Microcebus murinus (gray mouse lemur). Lineage: Eukaryota; Metazoa; Chordata; Mammalia; Primates; Cheirogaleidae. The record is from RNAcentral.